This is a non-coding RNA of Ictidomys tridecemlineatus (thirteen-lined ground squirrel), 2580 nucleotides long. The record is from RefSeq and is a predicted model, not a curated record. Lineage: Eukaryota; Metazoa; Chordata; Mammalia; Rodentia; Sciuridae.
GCCUGCACGUGUCCCUGUGUGUGUCCCUACGUGACCCCCCACGUCGCAGUCAAGAUGUGUUCAGUUGUAAGGGGGGUGGAGGUCAGGCGAGGCUGUCUCCUGUGGAGUCUGCCCCUGCAGACCCCCUGAAGAGCAGAGCCGGUCCUGUCUGCCCUUCAGCUCCCUGGUGGUGGGGGGCGCUGUAUCUCAUUGACAGGGAUCUGGGGGUCAGCGCUCAUUGACGCCAUGCCACCAGCUCAGGCAGGACGGGGUUCCUCAGGCAGGAGACUACAGCCCGGCAGUGGGGAGGAAGACCUCCGUGCUCAGAGGCCUGCGUGGGCGCCCGGCCUCCGAGGAUGGCGUGAGAGCUUGUUCUGGUGCUGGAAGUUCCCUAACAGACGGAGGCUUUGCGGAUGAGCCGGGCCAUUUCACAAUCCUCCUCCCGGUCAGCCCUGUCACGGCAGCACACGUGAGCGGAUCCCGAGAGCCAGUCGGGCUCUGGCUCCCAUGUGCCAGGACAGCUAUUCCGGGGCGGCUUCAGUGACCAGCCCGGGGUCACUGUGCUCGGGGGCUCAGCCUCCGCGUCAGGCACUCCCCCGGGCUGGGACGGCCCCCAGCCUGAGCACGGCUUGGGGUGGGCUGGGGAUGCAGCGCUGUGCCCGGCACACAGCCGGAGCUCAAGCAGAGCUGCCCCUCUGGUGGGACGGGGGAGGGUGGGGCAGUGGACACUUGGCUGGCCGCCAGGCUGGCUGAGAGUGGCCCGGAGCUGAGCUACAGGACUGUCAGGGCAGGGUCUCCAAGGCCAGAUGGCCUGGGUCCGAAUCCCGGCUCUGCUCUUCUGCGCCACGGCAGCCUCCAUGGGACGUGUGCCCAGUGCUUCCCUCAGGGCUGCGGAGGAUCCCGCGGUGACACAGAAGAGCACUUGGCUCAACACCUGCCGCACGCCAAGAGCCCGGGAGCUGCCGCCCCACUCCGCCUUUUCAUCCAGUAUUUGUGGAGCGCGAGCGCUGGUUACAACGUGCUCGCAUUUUAACGCCCCGACUUAUUUUAAACAUUCCCUCCUGUGGACCCCGCAGCCCAGCCCAGCAGGGGCCACCGUCUUGCUCACAGCUGGAGCUCAGAGAGACAGUGAGUGACCAGGCCCCGGCCUGCGGCUCAGUGAAGGCCUCGUGGGGUUUCCUUCUUCCUCACCUCCAGCCCGUGGCAGAGCCUGGGGUUCUGCCGCCAGCUCUCCCGCAGCGCGCCCUGCUCCCUCCUGGGCUCCAGGCCCCAGUCCUCCUGGACUUCCCGCGCCCUGGCCUGCCUGCUUCUGCAGGCUGUGGUCUCCCUGGCCUUGGCAGGGUGCUCCGAGUGCCCCAGGACAGCUGUCCCCCGCCCAGGCGCUCCAGGCACUCCUGACCCCACCAGGAAAGGCACUGGGUGGUAGGACUUUCAAGCCCUGUAAUGGGUGUCUGCUGCCCGCUCCAGGGCAGGCCAGCUCUGGUGGCCCUGGACUGGGCCCCGCAGCGCCAGGAGCCGUGGGGGGCCUGGGUGGGGUGAUCCUCCCCGGCUCAGCCUCUGCUCGCGGCUCUGCUGCCCUUCCUCCAACACGGUGUCCGUCCCUCUGCCCUGGUGUCCGCUGCACCCGGUAGUGGCCUGGGCAGCCCCCUGUGCUGGUCAGGAGUGCUGAUGGCAGGAUGCCUCCCACGCUGAAUGGCCGAACCCAAGGAGGCUGGGGACAGGCAGGGAAGCAGCCCGCAGAGCAAGUGGGACUGAGCAGCAGGAGGUCACCCCCACCGUGACCCUCCCCCCUGGCCUUCCACACUCAGGGUCUUGGCUGAGGACCACCCUUCUCUGUGGCCGGAUAAGAGACCACUGACUACAUGCCAGGGUCGUCUGGUGGAGGGGACACAGCCUUGCCUUUCUUUCUAGAAGACCCAGGAAAGGUUCCGACUGGUCCCCGUGGCUUGGGGUCAGUCCUGAACUGGCCGGCCUCCUUCCCAUUCUUGGCCAAUCUCUGCCAAGGAGCGAUGUCGUGUGGGCCAGGUAGUGCCUGCCAGAACCACGGGGUGCAGAGUGGGGCCAGGCCCUUCUCAGGGCUGCAAGGGAGCUGGUCAGACAAAGUGGACACUGACUAUGCAGCCUGUACCCUCCCCCUGUGGCCACAGGUCCCCCUUCCCACUUCAGGGAAGUCUGACCUCCAGCCGGCCUGGCCAGGCUCUUCUACCCUGGCAGGACUUUAGCUGGGUGUGUGGGGGACGGCCCACCACGAUGUGACCUGGCCACUCCCUGGAAGAGCUCUGGGGAUGAGGUGGGCUGGUGUGGGCGUCCUAGGUCCUGCCCCUGGGGACCUGUGGCGAGGAGGUCAAGUCCCGUCUCUUCCCUGACCAUCAUGCAGCAGGGCGGCCCUUCUCCCUCCAGGGGUCCUCAUGGUGCCAGAGUUGGACAACAACUGACCUGAAGGUUCCAAGGAGCAGAGAAAACCGAUCUCGCUCCCUGGAUCAAACCCGGCCCCAGCUGUGGAGUCUCCCCCAGCGCAGAGGACGCCUUUAUCAUCCGGAGAAAAAUGGCUGUCGAUACGCUCCACUUCCUGGUGCGCCGCUGACAGGGCGGGGGCUUGGG